CUGUGCCAUCUGUGCCGCGCGCGCCUCCAUCUCCAACAGCUGCGCGCGCACCCCGUCCUCGCGCCCGUGGUAGAGCGAGGCCAGUUCCGCCCGCUGCCAGUGGAUCUGCGCUAGGUCCACGCGGUUCUGCUCGUCCAGCCGGACGAUGGCUUUGGCGCAGCGCUGGGCGCGCGCGCUCACGUAGCUGGCGUAGAGCCGGUUCUCCUCGCGCAGGCGCAGCGCCUCGCGGUCCAGGAAGGCGUUCUCUCGCAGCACCUGGUCAACGCUCUCCUCGCAGGUGUCCAGCUGCUCCGAGAGCAGCGCGUGUUCGCGUUGCAGGUCCUGCACACCCAUGAAGCGACUGACCCAGCUGGUCUGAAGCACCCCACGAGGAGGUACCUCAGAACCCAGGCCAGAUCCACACAAGGCUCUCGGUCAGUCCCAGAUGGAAGCUCCAGUCCCAGGCCGUGACAUGCAUCAGCUCCCACACCCAGGAUUGUCCCAGAGAAAGCGCUCUGCCCUCCCCGUCCACAGCACCACGAGGGCCAUAACUGCACUGCCACACCUCUCCAGUUCCAGAGACAUCCCUGAGAGGCAGCCAUCAGGGGUGCCCAGCUGAGGACACGCCUCCUUGGGGACCCUCAUUCCUGAGUCCAUGCCUCCAGAUUCACGAUCUCAGAGACAACCACAUCCGCAACUGGCACGUGUCCCCACCGAAGGGGCUCAAGUAAGUGACUGGAGUGACCAGGGUGGAUGGGCCUGGAGUACCUGGGUCUAUAGCCCACGCCCGGAGCAGGAAAUGGGGGAGACCUGGGGUACCUGGGUCUGUAGCCCACACCCAGAGCAGGAAAUAGGGGAGACCUGGGGUACCUGAGUCUGUAGCCCACAUCCAGAGCAGGAGAGAGGGGAGACCUGGAGUACCUGUACCUGUACCUCAGCUACAGUAUCUGAGUCUGUAGCCCACAUCUGAAGCAGGAGAGAGGAGAGGGCCAUUUUGGAGUCCACCAGGUAGCCCCAGUAGGACAGGGAGAGGCUGUGUAUGAGAUGGGAUGGGUGGUGGGCCAUGGCUGUGACACUGGAGGGGACAGGGCGGGGAUACCUUCUCAGACUAUGACACUCAGAGGCAAGGUAGGAUCUCGGCCCACACAACAGCACACGGAUGGUGCCCUUAUGGGAGAGAGCGGGGCCAUGCAUGGGGCCUGUGACAGCUUGGGAGGUGGGGGCCAGGGGAGUUUGGUUUCCUGGGUUACGGAAUGCUGGGUGUGUGUGAAGUAGGAGGCACCAGCCACACUGUUUCACCAGGGGCUGUGAUCUGGGCCCCACCCUUGUGACUCUGGGGCUUCUGGAUGAUGACCUCUCCCCAGACCUCACCCAUGAUUUCCCCGUGGAUUGGUUAAAAAUUCAAUGCAAGGUCCAGGUCAAUAAUGCACCCAAAAUAAAGCUGAAAGUUACAACCGCAUGCAACAAAACUUAUUGUGACUUAGCCCCGGCGCAGUGGCUCACGCCUGUAAUCCCAGCACUUUGGGAGGCCGAGGCAGGUGGAUCACAUGAGGUCAGGAGUUCGAGACCAGCCUGGCCAACAUGGUGAAACCCCGUCUCUACUGAAAAUACAAAAAUUAGCAGGAUGUGAUGGCAGGCGCUUGUAAUCUCAGCUACUCAGGAGGCUGAGGCAGGAGAAUCACUUGAACCCAGGAGGCAGAGGUUGCAGUGAGCUGAGAUUGUAUCACUGCACUCCAGCCUGGGUG
Molecule: long non-coding RNA, 1724 nt
Filed under: Homo sapiens (human)
Lineage: Eukaryota; Metazoa; Chordata; Mammalia; Primates; Hominidae
Description: HSALNT0145421
Source: RNAcentral